AACCCUCUUCUUCUCCAACACUAUUCUUCUACAUCCUCAUCAUGGGAACGAAGAUUGAUUUUGAAAUUCUAAAAAAAUCCACAAAAAUCCUUAUUCCUGUAUUUUUUAGAAAAACAUAUUCACCAAAACAUUAUCUCUUCUUCACCAAAACCUUCUCCAACACAUAAAAAUUGAAUUUUUAUCCCAAAACAAAACCUAUCUAUCACCUUCCCUCUUAAACGAACCUCUCUUAUCCACUUACCUUCUCAAUUGUUAUGCCUCUAUCUCCGACAACAACCACAACACCAACAACAACAAGCAACGCCGCUAACAACCGUCGAUGGGAUUUGAUGCUCCAUGAAUUCGUCACAGGCGGCGUCAAACAAUUCAAUUUUAUGUCCUCCUGGUGCCGAAUCCAGAUCUGUAAUCAAGGAAAACAUCAUAUUUUAAUUUGAUUCUGUCUCGAAUUUCCCUUCCAAAUCUACCGAAUCCAGAUUUGUCUUCAUGAACGAAGAGGCUGAGAAGUAAUUGUUUUGAAUUUGAAUCAGAUUCGAAUUUGGGAGAUUUGGGUUGCAGCGGUACUGGAUUUUCAGGAUUGAAUGUCAAGGAUUUGGGGAUGAACUUCUAGGUUUCAGAUUUUAACUUGGUGAUGAUGAUGAAUUUGUUGUUUGAAAGAUUGGUACUAAUAUCAUUAAUUUUUCUGCAGGGACAGUGAUAUCAUUCAUAUGUACUGAAGCAAAUCUGGAAAUUUGAACGAUGUGAUGAUGAUGAAUUUGUUGUUUGAAAGAUUGGUACUAAUAUCAUUAAUUUUUCUGCAGGGACAGUGAUAUCAUUCAUAUGUACUGAAGCAAAUCUGGAAAUUUGAACGAUGUGAUGAUGAUGAAUUUGUUGUUUGAAAGAUUGGUACUAAUAUCAUUAAUUUUUCUGCAGGGACAGUGAUAUCAUUCAUAUGUACUGAAGCAAAUCUGGAAAUUUGAACGAUGUGAUGAUGAUGAAUUUGUUGUAUUGAAGAUUUUGAUGAAUAUUGAUAACUUCUCAAAUCUGGAAAUCAGUAGAUGAACAUCACUUAUUUGUGUUAGGGGUAUUUUGGUCCAUUCACAUGAAAUAAGUCAAUUAGAACUACCACGUCAGCUAAUCAGUGACGUGGCAGUAAUUAACUGGGCUCAGAGACAAAAUUUUAAAUGAUUAAACUUUUGGAGGAUAGAUUGCCAGGAUUAACAAAUAUAAGGACCAAUUUUUAAAUGACCCCUAUAUGCAGGGAUGAAAAACAUAUUAAAGCC
RNAcentral lists this long non-coding RNA (1259 nucleotides) under Medicago truncatula (barrel medic). RNAcentral describes it as "long non-coding RNA (MTRU_LNC007205)". Lineage: Eukaryota; Viridiplantae; Streptophyta; Magnoliopsida; Fabales; Fabaceae. The record is from RNAcentral.